UACGGGGGGGGCAAGCGUUGUCCGGAAUUAUUGGGCGUAAAGAGCGCGUAGGCGGUCCGAUAAGUCGGCUGUGAAAGUCAGGGGCUCAACCCUUGGAAGCCGGCCGAUACUGUCGGACUAGAGUCCGGAAGAGGCGAGUGGAAUUCCCGGUGUAGCGGUGAAAUGCGCAGAUAUCGGGAGGAACACCAAUGGCGAAGGCAGCUCGCUGGGACGGUACUGACGCUGAGGCGCGAAAGCGUGGGGAGCGAACAGG
This 253-nucleotide ribosomal RNA is filed under the name uncultured bacterium. RNAcentral's name for it is "partial 16S ribosomal RNA". It matches the Rfam family "Bacterial small subunit ribosomal RNA", at positions 524 to 776 of the family's 1533-position model. The record is from RNAcentral.